AGAGUUUGAUCAUGGCUCAGGAUGAACGCUGGCGGCGUGCCUAACACAUGCAAGUCGAGCGAUUUACUUCGGUAAAGAGCGGCGGACGGGCGAGUAACGCGUGGGUAACCUGCCCUGUACACACGGAUAACAUACCGAAAGGUAUGCUAAUACGAGAUAAUAUGCUUUUAUCGCAUGGUAGAAGUAUCAAAGCUUUUGCGGUACAGGAUGGACCCGCGUCUGAUUAGCUAGUUGGCAAGGUAACGGCUUACCAAGGCGACGAUCAGUAGCCGACCUGAGAGGGUGAUCGGCCACAUUGGAACUGAGACACGGUCCAAACUCCUACGGGAGGCAGCAGUGGGGAAUAUUGCACAAUGGGCGAAAGCCUGAUGCAGCAACGCCGCGUGAGCGAUGAAGGCCUUCGGGUCGUAAAGCUCUGUCCUCAAGGAAGAUAAUGACGG
RNAcentral lists this ribosomal RNA (440 nucleotides) under uncultured bacterium. RNAcentral's name for it is "bacterial SSU rRNA". It matches the Rfam family "Bacterial small subunit ribosomal RNA", at positions 8 to 457 of the family's 1533-position model. The record is from RNAcentral.